ACAAUAAGUAGUGACCACUAAAAAGUUUAACUACAACUAGAUCUGGGUUUAGAGUGUAGUGUAGUACAGUUUAAAAAUAUCAGUAUCAUCAUAGUUUCUGCACCAGCGUGUAGGGUAGUCUUAUGGUUUUGUGAUAUGACUACAGUUUAGCCUUAUUACUAAUCACCAAUUACCAUGAAAUGGACAUUUUAAACUCUAAAGUUAUUUGAAACUGGUCUCCAGGAGUAAGCCAGAUUUUAUUUUCUUCAUAAAGUGCACAAUACUCUGCAAUGUGUCAAGGAUUGAAUAAUACCUUACUAGUUACUAGUGAUAUUUUCCAAAACAUAACACAGGAGAAAAAAGAUGUCAAAGUUUAUUUUACAUAAUAAAGAUUAAGUUCUGCUCUCCUGAUUGCCAUUUUUAUACUUUCCAAGCAGCUGUGUACUGUAAACAACGUGUGUGGUUUACGAGUAUUCUAGUGGACUCAGACGUAUUUAACAGCAGUAUUGGCUGCUUGUACAUUUCAUACACUGACAGAACAAUUAUCAUAAUUAAGUGCAUAAGACUUUUGUUAAAACUAAUUGCUCAAUCAUGUGUAACCAGAAAUAAUUCUUGUCAAAUAUGCUUUGUGCCAAACCUUGUGCCAUUUGUUUGUUUUACAUCAAGCCAGCCACAAUUUCUGGUGUUUCAGACACUAAUGAGUACUAAAAAUACCUAACUAAACUGACUGAUUGCAGUGGGAAUUUUCCCAGUUAGACUUACAUUUUUGUGAUUAUUCCAACACCACAGGAAUGCAGCACAAAUGCCCUAUCAGGCAGUAUUAAAGAAAGGGAAAGAAAAAUUGUGUAUCCGCCACGUGAUUUGUGAGUUGAGUUCUUCCUUGGCCUGUGAUACACCCUUCCACCAAGUUUCAUGAAAUUCCAGCUAGUAGUAUUUCCAUUAUCCUGCUGACAGACAAACAGACAAACCAGAAACAUAACCUUCGUGGAUGUAAUCACACCUGAUUCUUUACAUUGUGGACUGUCCACUACCAUACCAUUACUCCAUUUUUGUCAAUGUAAUAUACAGUAAGCCUGCUGUGUGGGAAUGGAUAUCUGUUGACUGGUCUACAGCGACUACAAACAAUAGUUACUGCUUAGUUUAUGUAAUUUAGGAGCCUCAGGAACAACAUACCAUGUGAAAUACAUGUAAAGUGCCAAAUGUACUUUUGAUACUUUUUUGGGUAAUUGCUCAAUUCAUUUGCAGAUGGUUCCAAUGUAAAGUCUUUGAUGAAUUUUGUAUUAAAAAAAACUUACGUUGUUAUAAGUGCUUAGCCAUAAUUAAUAAAAGCUUCAUGCAGCAGCUUAGUUGUGUUUCAUGAAUGUCUUACAGAUUUCACUCUGUUAUUUUCUGUAACUGUCUGUACAGUGGACUUCAAGAGCAAAUAAAUGAUCUGACUUUUUAUUGAC
Long non-coding RNA from Etheostoma cragini (Arkansas darter), 1427 nucleotides. RefSeq lists it as uncharacterized. NCBI's taxonomy places the organism in Eukaryota, Metazoa, Chordata, Actinopteri, Perciformes, Percidae. The transcript has 2 exons. The record is from RefSeq and is a predicted model, not a curated record.